AGGGGUGAAAGGCCAAUCAAACUCCGUGAUAGCUGGUUCUCCCCGAAAUGCAUUUAGGUGCAGCGUCGUGUGUUUCUUGCCGGAGGUAGAGCACUGGAUAGUCUAGGGGGCCUACAAGCUUACCGAAAUUAGCCAAACUCCGAAUGCCGGUAAGUGAGAGCGCGGCAGUGAGACAGUGGGGGAUAAGCUCCAUUGUCGAGAGGGAAACAGCCCAGACCAUCAGCUAAGGUCCCUAAGCGAUAACUAAGUGGAAAAGGAUGUGGAGUCGCACAGACAACCAGGAGGUUGGCUUAGAAGCAGCCAUC
Molecule: ribosomal RNA, 305 nt
Filed under: Synchroma pusillum
Lineage: Eukaryota; Synchromophyceae; Synchromales; Synchromaceae
Description: partial Bacterial large subunit ribosomal RNA
Rfam family: Bacterial large subunit ribosomal RNA
Source: RNAcentral